RNAcentral lists this ribosomal RNA (253 nucleotides) under uncultured bacterium. RNAcentral's name for it is "partial 16S ribosomal RNA". It matches the Rfam family "Bacterial small subunit ribosomal RNA", at positions 524 to 776 of the family's 1533-position model. The record is from RNAcentral.
UACAGAGGGUGCAAGCGUUGUUCGGAAUUAUUGGGCGUAAAGAGCUCGUAGGCGGCUUGUCGCGUCGUCCGUGAAAACUUGGGGCUCAACCCCAAGCUUGCGGUCGAUACGGGCAGGCUAGAGUUCGGUAGGGGAGACUGGAAUUCCUGGUGUAGCGGUGAAAUGCGCAGAUAUCAGGAGGAACACCGGUGGCGAAGGCGGGUCUCUGGGCCGAUACUGACGCUGAGGAGCGAAAGCGUGGGGAGCGAACAGG